AUGGGGGCGCCGGAGUGCUGGUGGUCGACGUGGAGGGGGCUGGCCGUCGCCGUCACGGCGGCGUGCCUGCUCCCGCACGUGGCGGCGCGGGUGACGGACGCGCUGUGGUGGCGGCCGCGGCGGCUGGAGGCGCACUUCGCGCGGCAGGGCGUGCGCGGCCCGCCGUACCGCUUCCUCGUCGGCUGCGUCCGGGAGAUGGUGGCGCUCAUGGCGGAGGCCACCGCCAAGCCCAUGUCGCCGGCCACCUCCCACAACGCGCUGCCCCGGGUGCUCGCCUUCUACCACUACUGGAGGAAGAUCUACGGUAUGUAUGCAUGCGCCGCGUGUUUCUUCCCUUCUCUUGUUGUCAGCGGCUCACGUUCUCCGCAAUCAAUGGGUGGAGUUUUAAUGGUGGUUGGGUCUUGUCGUGGCGGCGCAGGGCCGACGUUCUUGAUAUGGUUCGGGCCGACGCCGCGGCUUACGGUGGCGGAUCCCGAGCUCGUCCGCGAGAUCUUCCUGACGCGCGCGGAGGCGUUCGACCGCUACGAGGCGCACCCCAUCGUCCGGCAGCUUGAGGGAGACGGGCUCGUCAGCCUACACGGCGACAAGUGGGCCCUCCACCGCCGCGUUCUCGCCCCCGCCUUCUACCCCGACAACCUCAACAGGCUGGUGCCGCACGUCGGGAGGUCGGUGGCGGCGCUGGCGGAGAGGUGGCGGGCGAUGGCGUGCGCAAGCGGCGGCGAGGUGGAGGUGGACGUGGCGGAGUGGUUCCAGGCGGUGGCCGAGGAGGCCAUCACGCGCGCCACGUUCGGCCGCAGCUACGCCUCCGGCCGCGUGGUGUUCCGCAUGCAGGGCCGCCUCAUGGCCUUCGCCUCCGAGGCCUUCCGCAAGGUGCUCGUCCCGGGCUACCGGUUCUUGCCGACCAAGAAGAACCGGAUGUCGUGGGGCCUGGACAGGGAGAUCAGGCGGGGCCUAGUCCAGCUCAUCGGCCGGCGCAGCGACGCCGCCGAGGACCACGAGGCGGAGAUCAAGGAGAAGGGCAACAGCGGCGGCUUCAGGGACCUGCUGGGGCUGAUGAUCAAUGCCCGCGACAAGAAGUCGCAGGCCAUGCCGGUGGAGGAGAUGGUGGAGGAGUGCAAGACGUUCUUCUUCGCCGGCAAGCAGACGACCACCAACCUGCUGACCUGGGCCACCGUGCUCCUCGCCAUGCACCCGGAGUGGCAGGACCGCGCCCGGCAGGAGGUCCUCGCCGUGUGCGGCCCGGGCGAGCUCCCCACCAAGGAGCACCUGCACAAGCUGAAAACGCUGGGGAUGAUCCUGAACGAGACGCUGAGGCUGUACCCACCGGCCGUGGCCACCAUCCGCAGGGCCAAGGUGGAUGUCACCCUCGGCGACCUGGCGAUCCCGCGCGACACGGAGCUGCUGAUCCCGAUCAUGGCGAUCCACCACGACGCCAGGUUCUGGGGGCCCGACGCGGCGCAGUUCAACCCCGGCCGGUUCGCCGGCGGCGCGGCGCGGGCGGCGACGCACCCGCUGGCGUUCAUCCCGUUCGGGCUCGGGUCCCGGAUGUGCGUCGGCCAGAACCUCGCGCUGCUCGAGGCCAAGCUCACCGUGGCCGUCCUGCUCCAGCGCUUCGAGCUGAGGCCGUCGCCCAAGUACGUGCACGCGCCGACGGUGCUGAUGCUGCUGCACCCGCAGUACGGCGCGCCCGUGAUCUUCCGCCCCCUGUCGUCGCCGUCCGCCGUCCGCGUCGAUCCACGCUAG
Molecule: ribosomal RNA, 1743 nt
Filed under: Triticum aestivum (bread wheat)
Lineage: Eukaryota; Viridiplantae; Streptophyta; Magnoliopsida; Poales; Poaceae
Description: partial small subunit ribosomal RNA
Source: RNAcentral